GAUGAACGCUGGCGGCGUGCCUAACACAUGCAAGUCGAACGGAAGGACCCUAAGCUUGUGCCCUUACUGUUUGCGGAGGGCGGGUGGGUCACGCGUGGAUCACCUCCUUCUUUUUCGGGGAUAAUUACGGAAAUCAGGAGAUUAUACUAGAGCAUAUUAUGAACCGUAGGGUGCAAAGGAAAUUGACGGCCUUGGCGUCUGUACUAGCCGGUUCCGCGCUGCAUUAGCUAGUUGGUAAGGUAACGGCUUACCAAGGAUACGAUGCAUAGCCGACCUGAGAGGGUGAUCGGCCACACUGGAACUGAGACACGGUCCAGACUCCUACGGGAGGCAGCAGUAGGGAAUCUUCCGCAAUGGGCGAAAGCCUGACGGAGCAACGCCGCGUGAGUGAUGAAGGUCUUCGGAUCGUAAAACUCUGUUAUUAGGGAAGAACAUAUGUGUAAUUAACCGUGCACAUCUUGACGGUACCUAAUCAGAAAGCCACGGCUAACUACGUG
Molecule: ribosomal RNA, 497 nt
Filed under: uncultured bacterium
Lineage: Bacteria
Description: partial 16S ribosomal RNA
Rfam family: Bacterial small subunit ribosomal RNA
Source: RNAcentral